UACGUAGGGUGCAAGCGUUAAUCGGAAUUACUGGGCGUAAAGCGUGCGCAGGCGGUUUUGUAAGUUUGUCGUGAAAGCCCCGGGCUCAACCUGGGAAUUGCGAUGAAGACUGCAAGGCUUGAAUCUGGCAGAGGGGGGUAGAAUUCCACGUGUAGCAGUGAAAUGCGUAGAGAUGUGGAGGAACACCGAUGGCGAAGGCAGCCCCCUGGGUACAACUGACGCUCAGUGCACGAAAGCGUGGGGAGCAAA
RNAcentral lists this ribosomal RNA (249 nucleotides) under uncultured bacterium. Its description in RNAcentral is "partial 16S ribosomal RNA". It matches the Rfam family "Bacterial small subunit ribosomal RNA", at positions 524 to 772 of the family's 1533-position model. The record is from RNAcentral.